Chiroxiphia lanceolata (lance-tailed manakin) is the source of this 279-nucleotide long non-coding RNA. RefSeq lists it as uncharacterized. The transcript is spliced from 3 exons. NCBI's taxonomy places the organism in Eukaryota, Metazoa, Chordata, Aves, Passeriformes, Pipridae. The record is from RefSeq and is a predicted model, not a curated record.
CAGUGACCUCGAGGGACAGGACUGCCCCAGGAAUGAAAACCUCUCUCCUGUGUCAUCCUCCAAAGCCCAUGAACACCCAGCUGUCCAUAAAGGUGGCAAGAGCUUAAAACUCUCAGAGCAAGGACAGAGGUGACCAGCACUUGAAAAUCCCUGCCUGUGAUCAGCCUCAUCAUACAGCACGUUUGCCUGAACCUCUGUGCCACGCUGUUCACAGCAAAGUUUUGUGAAACACAUCAGAGCAUCAGCAGUUUUUGCUUCUCUAGGUCGUGGAAAACGUAA